Molecule: ribosomal RNA, 450 nt
Filed under: uncultured bacterium
Lineage: Bacteria
Description: partial 16S ribosomal RNA
Rfam family: Bacterial small subunit ribosomal RNA
Source: RNAcentral
AGCGAACGCUGGCGGCAGGCCUAACACAUGCAAGUCGAACGAACCUUUCGGGGUUAGUGGCGGACGGGUGAGUAACACGUGGGAACGUGCCUUUAGGUUCGGAAUAACUCAGGGAAACUUGUGCUAAUACCGAAUGUGCCCUUCGGGGGAAAGAUUUAUCGCCUUUAGAGCGGCCCGCGUCUGAUUAGCUAGUUGGUUGAGGUAAUGGCUCACCAAGGCGACGAUCAGUAGCUGGUCUGAGAGGAUGAUCAGCCACAUUGGGACUGAGACACGGCCCAAACUCCUACGGGAGGCAGCAGUGGGGAAUCUUGCGCAAUGGGCGAAAGCCUGACGCAGCCAUGCCGCGUGAAUGAUGAAGGUCUUAGGAUUGUAAAAUUCUUUCACCGGGGACGAUAAUGACGGUACCCGGAGAAGAAGCCCCGGCUAACUUCGUGCCAGCCGCCGCAGUAA